Molecule: ribosomal RNA, 375 nt
Filed under: uncultured bacterium
Lineage: Bacteria
Description: bacterial SSU rRNA
Rfam family: Bacterial small subunit ribosomal RNA
Source: RNAcentral
UAAGACGAACCGUGCAAACGUUGUUCGGAAUCACUGGGCUUAAAGGGCGCGUAGGCGGGUUUCCAAGUCUGUGGUGAAAUCCUCCAGCUUAACUGGAGAAGUGCCGUGGAUACUGGAAGUCUCGAGGAGGGUAGGGGCAUCUGGAACUGCCGGUGGAGCGGUGAAAUGCGUUGAUAUCGGCAGGAACUCCGAUGGCGAAGGCAAGGUGCUGGACCCUUUCUGACGCUGAGGCGCGAAAGCCAGGGGAGCAAACGGGAUUAGAUACCCCGGUAGUCCUGGCCCUAAACGAUGAGAACUAGGUAGUGGACUUACAUGGGUUCACUGUCGAAGCAAAAGUGCUAAGUUCUCCGCCUGGGGAGUAUGGUCGCAAGGCUG